Molecule: ribosomal RNA, 396 nt
Filed under: uncultured bacterium
Lineage: Bacteria
Description: partial 16S ribosomal RNA
Rfam family: Bacterial small subunit ribosomal RNA
Source: RNAcentral
AUACGUAGGUGGCAAGCGUUGUCCGGAAUUAUUGGGCGUAAAGCGCAUGUAGGCGGUGCCUUAAGUCUGUCGUGAAACUGCGGGGCCUAACCCCGUAUGGCGAUGGAAACUGUGGCACUUGAGUGCAGGAGAGGAAAGGGGAACUCCCAGUGUAGCGGUGAAAUGCGAAGAUAUUGGGAAGAACACCGGUGGCGAAGGCGCCUUUCUGGGCUGUGUCAGACGCUGAGAGGCGAAAGCCAGGGUGGCGAACGGGAUUAGAUACCCCGGUAGUCCUGGCCGUAAACGAUGGGUACUAGGUGUGGGAGGUAUCGAUCCCUUCCGUGCCGUAGUUAACGCAAUAAGUACCCCGCCUGGGGAGUACGGCCGCAAGGCUUAAACUCAAAUGAAUUGACGGGG